GUCUCUUCCUCUCCUCCUUCUCUCUAGAAUCUUCUAGUUCUUCUCCGAUGGCCUUCACCAUCUCUUCGGCCACUUCCAGCCUCACCUCUUUCGACCACCAGCCGCCGUGAAACCUUAUCUCGCUGAUUUCCUUUAUCUUUGAGGCCCCAAGAGCCUCCACCAUAUGAGAUGGUGACUGAAAGCUUUUCCUGGUCUGCCUUCGGCCUUUCUCCGAUGGGUUUUGGUCUGAUAGUGCCAUGAACACCAUUAUUGCUGAAUUUCACAGCCAAGUUUCUCUUACUUCUCACUAGUUUCUCAUGAAACCCUAAUCGCUACCAGACCUCUUAAAUUUCUGUAUUUUUUUAACGAUUUUAACUCACACCUUUAUGUUUUACACUACUCUC
This 383-nucleotide long non-coding RNA is filed under the name Nicotiana benthamiana. Its description in RNAcentral is "long non-coding RNA (NBEN_LNC003649)". Lineage: Eukaryota; Viridiplantae; Streptophyta; Magnoliopsida; Solanales; Solanaceae. The record is from RNAcentral.